CUCGACUUCAGGCUGCUCCUCGUGCUUCGUCCAGCCACACUCCGAGCUCCACUUUUGCCUUUAGGCAUUAUGGGGAGGUGGAAAAGAAGAAAGUCAUCAUUGACAGCCUCUCAGAUUCCAGCAGCUGCUCGUCAUCCAAAAGACAUCUUUCAAGACAGACCACUCCUCGGCUUUUGUGGCACUGACACACUGAGACAAUGCAGCUGAAUCUUCCUUUCCUUGUUCUUUGCCUUCUCGGCACAGUGAUCCCGUGUGGAGGGCAGUUAAAUUCUACGACCAUCAGUCCCUCAAAUUCAACAUCUAGCAUGAAUGCCACGACACCUGAUCUAUCCAGUCCUGGUCCGUCCAGUCCUGGUCCGUCCAGCCCUGGUCCGUCCAGCCCUGGUCCGUCCAGCACUGGUCCAUCCAACACUACUGGACCGUCUACAGAAAAUGCAACUGUUACGGGAACACCUGCAAUCCCGACAGGCGGGUCUGUGGAGGGAGGUUCACCAGAAGGACUCUCAUCUGGAGCUAUAGCUGGCAUUGCCAUUGGCUCCAUCGCCGGGGUGGCUGCUCUUGGUGGAGGUAUCUUUGGCGCGCUGAAGUACACAAACAGGAUCUGAGGCCAUUCAAAUCCUGACCCCUUCAACUGGACAAUGAACAUAUCUUAAUGUCUGACAGGCUCAAAUCAGAAUAAAACAAUAUGACAUGAAUGACUUGGGCCAAGAGGAAGACAUUAAAGUAAAUUUGACUACUAAAUAAUCUUCAUAUCAUAUUAAUCAUAAAGACUAACAGUUGAGAUAUAGAUGUUUUUUUAAUAUACUUAUUAUAUUUGUGUCAUGUUUUUUAUUCAGUGGUUGAAAACGAUGCUUUUAGUUUGAAAUAGAAUGAAAAGUAUUUUUUUAGAAUGGAUUACAUUUAAUUGUCGGGAAGGUUUGCUCUAUUAUACAGUAUAUAUCUUAAUAUCCUUCACAUCUAAUAACUUUGGUCUUUUGUAUUUCAAUAUUCAGGGUAGCUAAACAACAUGGCAGAAUUAUUAAUAACUACUUUUCUUUUUUACAAUAGCAGUCUACAGCGUGUGAAUCAUGUGCAGGUCGUGGGAUCUCAGAGAAAAAAUAAAUUGGUGACUCAAUGCCACUGGGAUACGGAAAAUGCAGAACAAUACUCCUCUUUCUUGCUCUUCUGUGAGAACUAAACAAAAACAGGAGAAAAAACGAAUACAUUUCAUGAAUACAGAUAUUCCUUGAGAUAUUCUUUUCAGUUGAGUAUGUUGUGUUGACUGUUGACUGGGCUCGGAGAAAAAAAGCUUUGUAAUCAAUCUAUACAUUUAAUAAAUGACUGUUUUCCAUUGGUC
This is a long non-coding RNA of Pseudoliparis swirei, 1336 nucleotides long. RefSeq lists it as uncharacterized. The transcript has 5 exons. Lineage: Eukaryota; Metazoa; Chordata; Actinopteri; Perciformes; Liparidae. The record is from RefSeq and is a predicted model, not a curated record.